CUACGGGAUGCUGCAGUGGGGAAUAUUGCACAAUGGGCGCAAGCCUGAUGCAGCAACGCCGCGUGAACGAUGAAGGCCUUCGGGUUGUAAAGUUCUUUUCUUAGGGAAGAAUAAAUGACGGUACCUAAGGAAUCAGCCCCGGCUAACUACGUGCCAGCAGCCGCGGUAAUACGUAGGGGGCAAGCGUUAUCCGGAAUCACUGGGCGUAAAGGGAGUGUAGGCGGUCAAGCAAGUCAGGGGUGAAAGGCAUCGGCUCAACCGAUGUAAGCCUUUGAAACUGUUUGACUUGAGUGCAGGAGAGGUAAGUGGAAUUCCUAGUGUAGCGGUGAAAUGCGUAGAUAUUAGGAGGAACACCAGUGGCGAAGGCGACUUACUGGACUGUAACUGACGCUGAGGCUCGAAAGCGUGGGGAGCGAACAGGAUUAGAUACCCGCGUAGUC
Molecule: ribosomal RNA, 440 nt
Filed under: uncultured bacterium
Lineage: Bacteria
Description: partial 16S ribosomal RNA
Rfam family: Bacterial small subunit ribosomal RNA
Source: RNAcentral